GACCAAGCGGUGGCCUAAUUGGUUAGUCGUGUUGGACUCUGGAUUGAGCGGUCCCGGGUUCAAUCGCUGGCUGGGUCA
Desmophyllum pertusum is the source of this 78-nucleotide non-coding RNA. The record is from the annotation of a GenBank genome assembly. NCBI's taxonomy places the organism in Eukaryota, Metazoa, Cnidaria, Anthozoa, Scleractinia, Caryophylliidae.